CCAGACAUGAAAACAUACCUUUUCUUCCUUCAUAUUUUUCUGCUAAUAACAACUUCUUUAUUGUCCCCUCCAAAAGCAUCAGCCUCAGCUACAACUGAAGCAACUGCUCUGGUGAAAUGGAAGAACACUCUAUCACCAUCUCCUGUUUUAAACUCAUGGUCACUCAACAACCUCAGAAACCUCUGCCGCUCAUGGACCGGCAUUCAAUGCAACUCCGGCGGCUCCGUUUCUCAAAUCAACCUCCCCAAUUCGAAUCUCACCGGAGCUAUCAGCCACCUCGAUUUCUCCUCGCUCGCAAAUCUCACAACUCUCAAUCUCAAUGGCAAUAGCUUCAACGGGACAAUCCCAACCAGUAUCGGAAAUCUGACGAAGCUUGUUUUUUUCGACCUGAGCGAGAAUUUGUUGGAUGGCUCAAUCCCAUUGGAAAUCGGCAAUCUGAGAGAGAUACAGUACAUUAGUAUUUUCAACAACAGUCUCAACGGAGAAAUCCCUUAUCAAAUAGGCAAUCUCCAAAAGGUGCGGUAUCUGAAUUUGGGUUCUAAUUACUUGGAAACUCCUGAUUGGUCUAGAUUUCCGAAUUUCCCAUUUCUGACACACCUCAUGUUUAAUGACAACAAUAUCACUUUGGAAUUUCCGGAUUUCAUAACCACUUGUCUGAAUCUUACCCUUCUUGAUUUGUCACAAAACAACCUCAUUGGACAAAUUCCCGAGUCUUUGUUUAAUCUGGUGAAACUCAAAUACCUUAACCUCGCUUUUAAUUCGCUGCAAGGGAACUUUUCGACCAACCUCACAAAGCUACCGAAAUUGAAAGAUCUUCGUUUGGAGAGCAACUUAUUCUCCGGCCACAUUCUUGAUUCCAUCACCUUUUUACCGAACCUCGAAAUUCUUCACCUGUUCAACAAUUUGUUUCAGGGAGAAAUUCCGCCGGAAAUAGGUCAACUCAGGCGACUCCAGGAGCUAGAUCUCCAGCAAAACGGCUUCAACUCCACAAUUCCGGCCGAGCUCGGCCUAUGCACUAACCUCACCUUCUUAGCAUUAGCCGUCAAUUCAUUCACCGGACCUUUGCCUUUAUCCUUUUCGAAUUUGACAGAGUUAACCGAUUUGGGAAUCUCCGACAAUAGUCUCUCCGGCGAUAUCUCGCCUUUCAUCAGAAGCUGGACCAAACUAACGUCACUGCAGGUUCAAAGCAAUCAUUUCACUGGAGAAGUCCCGCCGGAGAUAGGCCUACUCACAAAUCUGAAUUAUCUGUAUCUGUACAACAAUUCAUUUUCAGGCCAAAUCCCACCGGAAGUAGGUAACCUGCAACACUUGUUGAAGCUAGACCUUUCGACCAACCAGUUUUCAGGCGAAAUACCUUCAACACUCGGCAACCUCACGAAACUUUUGCUCUUAAACCUUUUCUCAAACAAUCUUACCGGAACUAUUCCAUCUGCGAUUGGAGAUUUGAAUUUAUUAGAGACUCUUGAUCUCAAUACAAACCAAUUGAGAGGUCAGAUACCAGAAUCCUUCUCCAACCUCACUAGCCUAUCGACUUUGUCCGUAUUUAUUAAUAACCUAUCAGGCAUUCUCCCACAGGAUUUUGGGCAAAACAGUCCCCAGUUAGCCAGUGUUAGCUUUUCCAUCAACAACUUCUCUGGUCAGAUUCCUCCUGGAAUAUGCAGUGGCUUUGCUUUCGAUCACUUUACGGUGAACAACAACAGGUUUUCAGGGCUUUUGCCUCAAUGCUUAAAGAACUGCUCGGGCUUAAGAAGGGUACGUCUCGAAAACAACCGAUUUUCGGGAAAUAUUUCGGAUGUGUUUGGAGUUCAUCCACAGCUCGACUUCGUUUCUCUGAGCAGUAAUCAAUUCACCGGCCAACUUGAUGCCGAGUGGGGACAAUGCGAACAGCUCACAAAUAUUCAGAUGGAUAAUAAUAAAAUAUCCGGACCUAUCCCAGUUGAGCUCGGAAAUCUGACACAGCUUGGUGUUCUUGUCUUGGAUUCGAACAAGUUAACGGGCGAAGUUCCUGUCGAAUUUGGAAAGCUAGAGCAACUGUUUAAUCUCAGCCUGAGCAACAAUCAGUUGAGUGGCGAAAUUCCGACAGCUGUAGGCCGACUGACGAAGCUACAGCAUCUUGAUUUGUCGGGGAAUAAAUUCGGAGGAAAUAUUCCGGAAGAACUUGGAAAUUGCGAAGGCUUGCUGAACUUGAAGCUCAGCAAUAACUUAUUGUCAGGGGAGAUCCCUUCUGAACUCGGAGAUUUGACGAGGCUACAAAUCGUGUUGGACCUCAGUAACAAUUCACUUUCGGGGAAUAUUCCGUCAUCAUUCGGAAGUCUGACCACCUUGGAGAUUUUCAAUGUUUCGCACAACAAUCUUUCGGGCAGAAUUCCUACAGCGUUGCUUGGAAUGAUAAGUUUGAGCGACUUCGACUUCUCUUACAAUAAUCUGUCUGGUCCGAUCCCGACUGGCGAUAUAUUCAGAAAAGCACCUGCAAAAGCCUACAUCGAAAACUCCGGUUUAUGUGGAACUGCAGAAGCAUUACCUCCUUGUGAUGUCAUAUCUUUAACUUCAAAGUCAAAUAAUGAUCGGACAAAGAUUCUUGUCGGUGUCAUUGUGCCAGCUGUCAGCCUCGUAAUUUUGGCAACCAUUAUAGUUGGAUGUUGCAUUCUCCGAGGAAAAUCAGAGCAACUCGAUGAAGAAACCAAAAGCAUGACCAAGUUCGAGAAUUCGGAAUCGCUCAUUUGGGAAAGAGAAGGGAAACUCACAUUUGGAGAUAUUGUCCGAGCAACGAAAAAUUUCGACGAGAAAUACUGCAUCGGAAGAGGAGGAUUUGGAAGCGUUUAUCGAGCUGACUUGGCGAGCGGACAGAGUGUAGCGGUGAAAAGGCUCCACGUAUCGGAAUCGAGCGACGUGCCACUGGCGAAUAUUCGUAGUUUCGAGAAUGAAAUCCGGACACUGAAGGAAGUGAGGCACAGGAACAUAAUCAAGCUUUAUGGAUAUUGCUCGAGUAAAGGAUCGAUGUACUUGGUCUACGAGUACGUAGAGAGAGGCAGCUUGAGAUCAGUUCUGUACGACGAAAACGGAGCCCUCCAACUAAACUGGCCCACGAGGGUUAGAAUCGUUCAAGGAGUGGCGCACGCACUAGCUUACCUUCACCAUGAUUGCACACCACCUAUCGUCCACCGUGAUGUUACGAUAAACAACAUUUUACUCGAGUCGGAAUUCGAACCGAGGCUAUCGGAUUUCGGCACGGCGAAAUUGCUGACUUCUGAUUGGUCGAAUUGGACAACAAUGGCAGGCUCGUACGGCUACAUGGCUCCAGGUAAAUUCUCGUAACUUCGCUUUCACUACUAAAUCUGCAUCACGAAGUUAGAAUUUUUUUUCUGACAAUUUACCUUUUUUUUUUUUCUGUGCGCUCAGAGCUUGCGCUGACUAUGAAGGUGACGGAAAAAUCUGACGUGUACAGCUUUGGAGUUGUGGCCUUGGAAACUAUGAUGGGGAGGCACCCGGGGGAUCUCAUAUCUACACUAUCGGCAAACUCGGCAUUGCAUAGUGAACCGGAUGUGUUUCUGAAGGAUCUGCUCGAUCAACGGCUCUCAUCUCCCGCGGGCAAAACAGCAGAGGAAAUUGUGUAUGUAGUCACCAUGGCGUUAUCGUGCGUACGGACCAUCCCAGAGUUACGGCCUAAUAUGCGUUUCGUUGCACAAGAAUUGUCGGCUCGUGAUCGGCCUUACCUGCUGCAGCCACUGCAGACAGUAAAACUAAACGAAGCAACAAGUUUCUCAAAUUAGGAGGAGUUCGUGAUUUGCCGCGAUAAGUAUACAUAGUCACAUAAUCAAUGCUUGGACUCUGCAUAUACAUAAAUCCAGGGGAAUUAUGUCUUUAUUGGAAACUAAUGUACACAAUAUUUAUCUGUACGGAAACUAAUGUAGAGGAGGAUUUGACAGUAUUUUUUUUUUCUAUUCUAAAAAAAAAUAAUUCUUCCAUUGGCAAUGAUGCCCAGCAUUCAAUUAGCACAUAAACAUAAUCAGCAUGCAUAUACAAUUCACAGAAAUACUAAAUAAUUGAGAAAUCAAUCAGAAAUGAAGCCAUGAAAAUUGAAACCCUUACCUGGAAUAAAAAAAAAAAAGAAUCAGCGGAUCGGAGAAGAACUCCAUGUGCAACUACAGAGCAGAGGAAAAGCAAUGAUAUAUGAACUAGCUAUACGAGCAUACGGAAUAUCGGUGUUGGGCGCCGAUCACUUGUCGGAUAGAACGAUAACAUAAGGGUUUAUGGAACGGGAUUCCGGCACCGGCGAGUGGUGAAUAGAAUUGGACGGUGGCGAGUGCGCAUUUUCAUUUGGGUUUGGCUUCUUCGAAUAUUUUAUGCCCCCGUUUGUUCAUCACGCGCGUUUUUGGAGCGUAUACGAUUCAUCCCCAUUUUUUCUGCUUUUGUUUGUUUUCUUACUAUAGAGUAUAGAGGUUGAGAAUUUUAUUUUAUUUUAUUUUUAUUUUUUGAAUUUUGGAUUGAGGAACUUUUGAACUCAGAGGAUAAAAAAAAAAAGUUAAAAUAUUAUUUUGUCAAAAAAUUUUAAAUUAGUGAAAAAAUUAAUAUUUAUUAGUUUUAUACAUUAUUUAAUUAAUAACUUAUCAUUACUUUGUGAAAUUAGUUUUAUUAUUAUUAUUUAUUAUUAUUAUUGUUGUUGUUGUUGUUGUUGUUGUUGUUGUUGUUGUUGUUGUUGUUGUUUUCAAUAAACUCAAUCAAGCUCAUAAAGAUGAUGAAGUUGAAGAUGAUAGUUCACAACAAAACCCGUUCCUCGGUCGAGAACUCUUCAAAUAAAAAAUAUAUUUAAUAUUUCUGUAAGUGAGUUACGACGAAAUAAAAUCGAAGUUCUUACAAUGUUAAGAUGAGGAAUGAGAUUCAAGUAAUGUCAACUUCAACGAGAAGCAAAAGAAAAUUAAAACAUAUUUGCUAUAUGUUUAUAGAUUUAUGAAAUUGUACUAUGUAUUAUUUGAAGAUUUAUUUAUAUGCAUUAUUAAUUUAUAUAUUAGAUGCAUGAUAUUUAUUAGAAUUUUCAAAUAUGUAUUAUUUUAUAAAAAAAAAAAAGAGAAGUAUUAAUUUAGUAUGUUGUCCCCGAGCCAAAACUGAUUUUUUAUUUAUUUAUUAUUUAAAUGAUGUUAUUAAGUUAUCGAGUAUUAAUUUAUCGAUGUUCUACUGCAAUUUUAAAGAUGCCAUAGGAGUGGGGUGGGUGAGUUUGACCCUUUAAAAAAUUUAUGCUUACAGAUGUGAUGAUGAUAGUACUACUUGCUUCAAGUUUCUCCUUUUAUUUUUUAAUAGGGAAAAUUAGUUAAAAUCAUUAGGUAUUUGCAAUUAUUAAUAAGAGGGACACGCUUUCAAUUUUGAUUAUGUUUUUCUGCACAAAUUAUUUAUUAGAAGUCUUUUGACUACUUUUCUAUAAAUAUAUUUGUGACUACUUUACCAUUGAUAUCAUCGUUAUAACGAGAUAAGGUCAAGUUUUCUCGUGAAAUGGAUUUUUUUGUAGAUGCUACGUUCAGUUAAAUACAUUGCGUGAUCUUACACUAUUGAUUUAUACAUAAUAAAUAAUGACAAACACUCAUAUAUAUAAUAUAUGUGUGCUAAGUGAAUAGUUAUUUAUAUAGAUUAAUAGUGCAAAAUCGCCCGAUGUUUUUCACCAGAUAUAGCAUCUCAUAGACGAGUUUAACGAGAAUUGCAAAAAAAAAUUGAUAAUACAUGUCAAAAAAAAUUUCAAUCAAUGUCGUUCUCAAAAAAUGCCUCUCCGAAAAGCAUUUCCUAUUUCUUAUAAUUUUUAACCGUAAUGAAUUUUAAUAGGAAAAUCGACUUUUAGUUCAACGAAUUAAGAUGGUGUUUGCAAGAGUUUAUUUAAAAACUUAAGUUAGUGAUUGUGAAUUAAGUUGAUAUUAAAUGCUUAUUUUUAAAAGUAGGGAAUAUUUGGAAAAUUUCUCAAAAUCAACUUAAAUAGAAAAAGACAAGUCCAAAGACGCUUUUAAAAUUAUAUUUGAAAUCAACUUAUUUUAAGAGACGUCAAAAUAGAAGAUCAUUUUUGCAAACAUCUAAAAACAAAUAACGGUUGAAAAAAGCUCAAAAUUUGUUUCUAAAAACUCUUGCAAACACGAGCACUUGAGUCACCAUGAUUUACUCCUCCAUCAAUUUUUUUUUUCUUUUAGUUUAUUUUAAUUUUAAAUAUGAUUGUGUUUUAAAUGAGUGGCUCCUUGGCUCCUUAUAAUAAGUUUAAAAGAAGGCCACUUUCUUUGAACCCAACAACCUAUCCAAUGUUUUAUAUGAGAGUUAAAAAGUCAACUUUUCACACACAAGUCAACAACAAUUUGCUCAAAGAUGACAGUCUGGACAGAUGAAAUGCCAGCCCUCAUAUUUGAAGUUCUUAUUUUUCUUGGUCAACGCUUUAUUAAAAUAGGAAACUCACUAUGGCCCCAAAUUUCCCAUAAGAUUCAAUUUAAAGCAAUAGUAGCUGACUUAUAUUACUUAAUUAGUUCCCAUUGCUAGUAUUGGAUUCUUUUAGAUAUUUUCUAACAACCACCCAUACAAAAAUACUUCAUUUGUCUCGUAUUAUAUGUCUUUUUUAGGGUGUUUGUUUCUUUUUUACAAAAUUAUUUGUCAAGUUAGAGUUCCAAUAAAGUACUAAUUGCAUUUUUAUCAAUUUUGCUCAUUUAUCACUUUUAAUUAGUUAACUAAAAUAAAUUAAAGACAAGGAUAUUUUAGCAUUUACUAUGUUAUUUUUUGUUAUAAUUUAUGCGUAUUUAUUACUCCAUCCAUUCAACAAUAUCUGUCAUUUUAAAAAAAAAAUUAUUACAUAUUAUCUAUCACUUUAGAAUUUCAAUAGUACAUUAAUUGCAUAUUUUUCAAUUACAUCCUCAUUAACUCUUCAACACUUUCUCUGCAUUAAUUAAUAAAUAAUACUUAGUAUUUUAAUCUAACAAUAUCUAUUUUCCUAAAAUUAUUACAUUUUUUAAGAUUUGUGCAAAUGUGAGAAACGACUAUUAUUUAGAAACCGAAGAAGCCAAUCAACCUUUUCAUUGUCUAUUUUUCAAAUUGUCAAUUGACUCAAAUAAGAACAAACAGAAAAAAAGUCAACCCUUUUAAUGUACUUCACACUAGCAAGUGGUAACAACCAUAAACAUAUAUUAAUACCACAAACCCCAAAUCAAGAGAGUAGAAAUAAAUAAACAAAAAAGCAAACCCAGUUGUUUUCAAUUCAAAUGUUUGCAAUAACAAUCAAAGCAAAUGUAGCAGCAUAUUAAUUCACCAAAAAAAACACACACACAGACAAUGAAAACAUACCUUUUCUUCCUUCAUAUUUUUCUGCUAACAACAACAACUUCUCUAUUGCCCCUUCCAAAAGCAGCAGCCUCACCUACAACUGAAGCAACUGCUCUGGUGAAAUGGAAGAACACCCUACCAUCACCAUCUCCUGUACUAAACUCAUGGUCACUCACCAACCUCCGAAACCUCUGCCGCUCAUGGACCGGCAUCCGAUGCAACUCCGGCGGCUCCGUUUCUCAAAUCGACCUCUCCGAUUCGAAUCUCGCCGGAACCAUCA
This 7555-nucleotide long non-coding RNA is filed under the name Erythranthe guttata (spotted monkey flower). RNAcentral's name for it is "long non-coding RNA (EGUT_LNC003854)". The record is from RNAcentral. Lineage: Eukaryota; Viridiplantae; Streptophyta; Magnoliopsida; Lamiales; Phrymaceae.